CGCAUCUUGCGCUUGCUGGUAUUCCGGCAAGCAUUCCUGUUUGAGUGUCAUGAAACUUAUCAACCGUGACUUGGGUUUAGGCCCCUGGCUCGGCUUGGUUUUGGGUGCUUGCGGCCUUGUGCUGCUCACCUUAAAAGGAUUAGCUGGACAAGUCGUGAGACUUGGUUCUACUUGGCGUAAUAAGUAUUUCGCUGAGGACAUCCCCUCGUGGGGUGGCCAAGACUCUAGUGCAAACGUCUGCUUUCUAACCCGAUUGUCCUCGGACAUCACUUUUUAUGAUCUGGCCUCAAAUCAGGUAGGACUACCCGCUGAACUUAA
RNAcentral lists this unclassified non-coding RNA (318 nucleotides) under Piskurozyma sp. Its description in RNAcentral is "partial contains 5.8S ribosomal RNA, internal transcribed spacer 2, and large subunit ribosomal RNA". The record is from RNAcentral. Lineage: Eukaryota; Fungi; Basidiomycota; Tremellomycetes; Filobasidiales; Piskurozymaceae.